This 491-nucleotide ribosomal RNA is filed under the name uncultured bacterium. Its description in RNAcentral is "partial 16S ribosomal RNA". It matches the Rfam family "Bacterial small subunit ribosomal RNA", at positions 29 to 507 of the family's 1533-position model. The record is from RNAcentral.
GCGAACGCUGGCGGUAGGCCUAACACAUGCAAGUCGAACGGCAGCACAGUAAGAGCUUGCUCUUACGGGUGGCGAGUGGCGGACGGGUGAGGAAUACAUCGGAAUCUACUUUUUCGUGGGGGAUAACGUAGGGAAACUUACGCUAAUACCGCAUACGACCUACGGGUGAAAGCAGGGGAUCUUCGGACCUUGCGCGAUUGAAUGAGCCGAUGUCGGAUUAGCUAGUUGGCGGGGUAAAGGCCCACCAAGGCGACGAUCCGUAGCUGGUCUGAGAGGAUGAUCAGCCACACUGGAACUGAGACACGGUCCAGACUCCUACGGGAGGCAGCAGUGGGGAAUAUUGGACAAUGGGCGCAAGCCUGAUCCAGCCAUACCGCGUGGGUGAAGAAGGCCUUCGGGUUGUAAAGCCCUUUUGUUGGGAAAGAAAAGCAGCAGGUUAAUACCCCGCCGUUCUGACGGUACCCAAAGAAUAAGCACCGGCUAACUUCGUG